Molecule: long non-coding RNA, 115 nt
Organism: Mangifera indica (mango)
Lineage: Eukaryota; Viridiplantae; Streptophyta; Magnoliopsida; Sapindales; Anacardiaceae
Exons: 2
Source: RefSeq, a predicted model, not a curated record
GGUGACGGUUCAAGUGUUAUGCAGCUACAUCACACUUCCCCUCUAUGCUCUUGUGAUUCAGAUGGGAUCAAGUUUGAAAAGGGCAGCUCUGGAAGAGCAAGCAGCCAAUGCUAUA